GUGGGGAAUUUUGGACAAUGGGCGAAAGCCUGAUCCAGCAAUGCCGCGUGUGUGAAGAAGGCCUUCGGGUUGUAAAGCACUUUUGUCCGGAAAGAAAUCCUUUGGGUUAAUACCUCGGAGGGAUGACGGUACCGGAAGAAUAAGGACCGGCUAACUACGUGCCAGCAGCCGCGGUAAUACGUAGGGUCCGAGCGUUAAUCGGAAUUACUGGGCGUAAAGCGUGCGCAGGCGGUUUUGUAAGACAGAUGUGAAAUCCCCGGGCUUAACCUGGGAAUUGCAUUUGUGACUGCAAGGCUAGAGUGUGUCAGAGGGGGGUAGAAUUCCACGUGUAGCAGUGAAAUGCGUAGAGAUGUGGAGGAAUACCGAUGGCGAAGGCAGCCCCCUGGGAUAACACUGACGCUCAUGCACGAAAGCGUGGGGAGCAAACAGGAUUAGAAACCCCGGUAGUCC
Molecule: ribosomal RNA, 450 nt
Filed under: uncultured bacterium
Lineage: Bacteria
Description: bacterial SSU rRNA
Rfam family: Bacterial small subunit ribosomal RNA
Source: RNAcentral